GAUGAACGCUGGCGGUAUGCUUAACACAUGCAAGUCGAACGGACUCUUCGGAGUUAGUGGCGGACGGGUGAGUAACGCGUGAGAAUCUGGCUUUGGGUUCGGGACAACCACUGGAAACGGUGGCUAAUACCGGAUGUGCCGAGAGGUAAAAGAGAAAUUGCCUGAAGAUGAGCUCGCGUCUGAUUAGCUAGUUGGUGAGGUAAAGGCUCACCAAGGCAGCGAUCAGUAGCUGGUCUGAGAGGAUGACCAGCCACACUGGGACUGAGACACGGCCCAGACUCCUACGGGAGGCAGCAGUGGGGAAUUUUCCGCAAUGGGCGAAAGCCUGACGGAGCAAUACCGCGUGAGGGAAGAAGGCUCUUGGGUUGUAAACCUCUUUUCUUAGGGAAGAACAAAAUGACGGUACCUAAGGAACCAGCAUCGGCUAACUCCGUG
RNAcentral lists this ribosomal RNA (435 nucleotides) under uncultured bacterium. RNAcentral describes it as "partial 16S ribosomal RNA". It matches the Rfam family "Bacterial small subunit ribosomal RNA", at positions 28 to 507 of the family's 1533-position model. The record is from RNAcentral.